RNAcentral lists this ribosomal RNA (231 nucleotides) under uncultured bacterium. RNAcentral's name for it is "partial 16S ribosomal RNA". It matches the Rfam family "Bacterial small subunit ribosomal RNA", at positions 104 to 334 of the family's 1533-position model. The record is from RNAcentral.
CGGGGUGAGUAACGCGUGGAUAACCUGCCUCACACUGGGGGAUAACAGUUAGAAAUGACUGCUAAUACCGCAUAAGCGCACAGUACCGCAUGGUACAGUGUGAAAAACUCCGGUGGUGUGAGAUGGAUCCGCGUCUGAUUAGCCAGUUGGCGGGGUAACGGCCCACCAAGCGACGAUCAGUAGCCGACCUGAGAGGGUGACCGGCCACAUUGGGACUGAGACACGGCCCAA